Molecule: ribosomal RNA, 317 nt
Filed under: uncultured Fomes
Lineage: Eukaryota; Fungi; Basidiomycota; Agaricomycetes; Polyporales; Polyporaceae
Description: partial large subunit ribosomal RNA
Rfam family: Eukaryotic large subunit ribosomal RNA
Source: RNAcentral
AUAUCAAUAAGCGGAGGAAAAGAAACUAACAAGGAUUCCCCUAGUAACUGCGAGUGAAGCGGGAAAAGCUCAAAUUUAGAAUCUGGCAGUCUCUGAUUGUCCGAGUUGUAGUCUGGAGAAGUGCUUUCCGCGCUGGACCGUGUACAAGCUCUCGUGAAUAGAGCGUCAUAGAGGGUGAGAAUCCCGUCUUUGACACGGACUACCAGUGCUUUGUGAUGCGCUCUCAAAGAGUCGAGUUGUUUGGGAAUGCAGCUCAAAAUGGGUGGUAAAUUCCAUCUAAAGCUAAAUAUCGGCGAGAGACCGAUAGCGCACAAGUA